GGUGAACGCUGGCGGCGUGCCUAAUACAUGCCAGUCGAGCGAACGGACGAGAAGAUUGCUUUUCUGAUGUUAGCGGCGGACGGGUGAGUAACACGUGGAUAACCUACCUAUAAGACUGGGAUAACUUCGGGAAACCGGAGCUAAUACCGGAUAAUAUUUUGAACCGCAUGGUUCAAAAGUGAAAGACGGUCUUGCUGUCACUUAGAGAUGGAUCCGUGCUGCAUUAGCUAGUUGGUAAGGUAACGGCUUACCAAGGCAACGAUGCAUAGCCGACCUGAGAGGGUGAUCGGCCACACUGGAACUGAGACACGGUCCAGACUCCUACGGGAGGCAGCAGUAGGGAAUCUUCCGCAAUGGGCGCAAGCCUGACGCAGCAACGCCGCGUGAGUGAUGAAGGUCUUCGGAUCGUAAAACUCUGUUAUUAGGGAAGAACAUAUGUGUAAGAAACUGUGCCUAUCCUGACGGUACCUAAUCAGAAAGCCACGGCUAACUACGUG
RNAcentral lists this ribosomal RNA (497 nucleotides) under uncultured bacterium. Its description in RNAcentral is "partial 16S ribosomal RNA". It matches the Rfam family "Bacterial small subunit ribosomal RNA", at positions 28 to 507 of the family's 1533-position model. The record is from RNAcentral.